CGACUAAGCGUACACGGUGGAUGCCCUGGCAGUCAGAGGCGAUGAAGGACGUGCUAAUCUGCGAAAAGCGUCGGUAAGGUGAUAUGAACCGUUAUAGCCGGCGAUGUCCAAAUGGGGAAACCCAGUGUGAUUCGUCACACUAUCGUUAACUGAAUACAUAGGUUAACGAGGCGAACCGGGGGAACUGAAACAUCUAAGUAAAAGAAAUCAACCAAAUCAACC
Molecule: ribosomal RNA, 222 nt
Filed under: Klebsiella pneumoniae
Lineage: Bacteria; Pseudomonadati; Pseudomonadota; Gammaproteobacteria; Enterobacterales; Enterobacteriaceae
Description: partial 23S ribosomal RNA
Rfam family: Bacterial large subunit ribosomal RNA
Source: RNAcentral